This 439-nucleotide ribosomal RNA is filed under the name uncultured bacterium. RNAcentral describes it as "bacterial SSU rRNA". It matches the Rfam family "Bacterial small subunit ribosomal RNA", at positions 354 to 796 of the family's 1533-position model. The record is from RNAcentral.
GUGGGGAGUAUUGCGCAAUGGGGGAAACCCUGACGCAGCCACGCCGCGUGGGUGAUGAAGGCCUUCGGGUUGUAAAGCCCUGUCGGGAGGGACGAAAGCCCCGCAAGGGGCCUGACGGUACCUCGCAAGAAAGCACCGGCUAACUCCGUGCCAGCAGCCGCGGUAAUACGGAGGGUGCAAGCGUUGCUCGGAUUCAUUGGGCGUAAAGCGCACGCAGGCGGUUCGACAAGUCGGGUGUGAAAUCCCCGGGCUCAACUCGGGAACUGCAUUCGAAACUGUCGGGCUGGAGUGCGGAAGAGGGAAGCGGAAUUCCUGGUGUAGAGGUGAAAUUCGUAGAUAUCAGGAGGAACACCGGUGGCGAAAGCGGCUUCCUGGUCCGUCACUGACGCUCAUGUGCGAAAGCGUGGGGAGCAAACAGGAUUAGAAACCCUUGUAGUCC